RNAcentral lists this unclassified non-coding RNA (21 nucleotides) under Chlamydomonas reinhardtii. RNAcentral describes it as "small RNA Cre_0406". The record is from RNAcentral. Lineage: Eukaryota; Viridiplantae; Chlorophyta; Chlorophyceae; Chlamydomonadales; Chlamydomonadaceae.
ACUUUGAGCAAACAUAGGGCU